This 27-nucleotide non-coding RNA is filed under the name Homo sapiens (human). The record is from RNAcentral. Lineage: Eukaryota; Metazoa; Chordata; Mammalia; Primates; Hominidae.
AAAGUGAUGCUGUGUGAAAUACCAUGA